This 603-nucleotide long non-coding RNA is filed under the name Capra hircus (goat). RNAcentral's name for it is "lncRNA (ENSCHIG00000001662.1)". The record is from RNAcentral. Lineage: Eukaryota; Metazoa; Chordata; Mammalia; Artiodactyla; Bovidae.
AACCCUCCCAGCCCUCUGAUCACUGCUGUUUCUGCAGGAAACCACACCCAGGCACUGCCGCACUGCAAAAACUGCAUGUCCAUAAUGGCAGACUCUGCUGCCUCAGAGGAGAGCGUCCCCUACUGCUCAGUACCAUUUUAGGUUCAGGUCCAAACCCUGGCAUCUUCUCCCUUCCUGUGAUCCUCUGCAUCAUUCUGGGAGCCCUUCUCUUCACGAUCCUCAUCAUCCUGGGGAUUCAGCUACACAGAUGGAGAGCAGAGCACCAAGAACUUCCAGGACAGAACAUCAACACCACAAGAAAUGGUUAUGAUGAUGUUGAUGAGUUACCUGUUCCCAUAAAUCCUUUCUUCCCUGGGAUGAAUGAGAAUUACUUUUCCCCAAAGGACAGAGGUGGUGCCAGGUAUUCCCAGACAGGCAUCUCUCUGAAGUCUCUGAGAGAAACUGUCAACUCUGGGGUGAAGGAGAAGGAGUCCUCAUUGAUCUUGAGACUAGAAGAGCCUGGAUAUGAUGAUGUUGAGCUUAGCACUAUGUAGUGCCAUUUUUGAAGCAAGAAACUCUUGAAAGACAUCCCUGUAAUGUUGUUUUUCAAAUAAAUGAGAAUCC